UACGGAGGGGGGCUAGCGUUGUUCGGAAUUACUGGGCGUAAAGCGCACGUAGGCGGCGAUUUAAGUCAGAGGUGAAAGCCCGGGGCUCAACCCCGGAAUAGCCUUUGAGACUGGAUUGCUAGAAUCUUGGAGAGGCGGGUGGAAUUCCGAGUGUAGAGGUGAAAUUCGUAGAUAUUCGGAAGAACACCAGUGGCGAAGGCGGCCCGCUGGACAAGUAUUGACGCUGAGGUGCGAAAGCGUGGGGAGCAAACAGG
This 254-nucleotide ribosomal RNA is filed under the name uncultured bacterium. Its description in RNAcentral is "partial 16S ribosomal RNA". It matches the Rfam family "Bacterial small subunit ribosomal RNA", at positions 524 to 776 of the family's 1533-position model. The record is from RNAcentral.